This is a long non-coding RNA of Exaiptasia diaphana, 724 nucleotides long. RefSeq lists it as uncharacterized. The record is from RefSeq and is a predicted model, not a curated record. The transcript is spliced from 4 exons. NCBI's taxonomy places the organism in Eukaryota, Metazoa, Cnidaria, Anthozoa, Actiniaria, Aiptasiidae.
UCCUUUUCUUUUCAAACAUUAUUUAUAACAUUUAAACUGUUAUAAAUUUCAACGGCGUUGGAUGGCAUACAAGAGAUGUUUGGAUGAAUUUUGGCUUUUGUUGUUAAUUAAUUACCGCAACAGUCUAUGCAUUGCAAAGUUCUUGCCUAAAAUUACAAACCUUGUUUCGCUGUUCCAUUGGAAAAACGAGAGAAGAUUAAGACAACUCGUUUAUCGCCGAGACGGGUGAAUAAUGUAUUACUAUCCUCGCAAGCAUCCAAUCAGGUCAAAACCGGUUUCCUAAACCAGCGAGCCGAUGAGACACUGAUGAGAAUCAAGCUAUAAAGUUGCAUUUAUCUACUGCCUAGGAAAAUUGACCGUGGAUCAUGGAUUGAGGAGCAGACGGACAUCCAACUAGGAAAUGGCUAUGAAGAGAUGAUGACAAAACAUAUAGGUGUACUCAAAAAAGGAAUUCAAGAUGGCGGCUGGGUGUUGGUAGUUUUUUGGAUUUAUCCGCGUUUUGGCUAUAUUUUGGUGGCAAAAGGAAACUUUAUAAAAGAAAGAAACAGACAGAUUGAUGCAAUUACUGGCUCCAAAUCAAUAUUACCAUCCAACGAUACAUUGGAAACAUUUAAGACCUCGUGGUAGUGCUGAUGGCUUUCCAAAAGAACAAAAGUUUUAACACUUUUGACAUAAAAGAUUAUUUUUACUGGCAGACUGAGUAAGUAAAUAAGAGUUAUAAGAA